Molecule: ribosomal RNA, 183 nt
Filed under: uncultured bacterium
Lineage: Bacteria
Description: partial 16S ribosomal RNA
Rfam family: Bacterial small subunit ribosomal RNA
Source: RNAcentral
UUCAUGAAGCCGGAAUUGCUAGUAAUGGCAGGUCAGCAUACUGCCGUGAAUACGUUCCCGGGCCUUGUACACACCGCCCGUCACACCAUGAGAGUUGGGAAUACCCGAAGCCUGUGAGCUAACGUUAAGAGGCAGCAGUCGAAGGUAGAAUCAAUGAUUGGGGUGAAGUCGUAACAAGGUACC